ACGGAAGGCAGCAGUGGGGAAUAUUGGGCAAUGGGGGCAACCCUGACCCAGCAACGCCGCGUGAAGGAAGAAGGCUUUCGGGUUGUAAACUUCUUUGACGAGGGACGAAAUAAAUGACGGUACCUCGAAAACAAGCCACGGCUAACUACGUGCCAGCAGCCGCGGUAAUACGUAGGUGGCGAGCGUUGUCCGGAUUUACUGGGUGUAAAGGGCGCGUAGGUGGGUGUGCAAGUCAGAUGUGAAAUACCAGGGCUUAACUCUGGGGCUGCAUUUGAAACUGUGCAUCUUGAGUAUCGGAGGGGCAAGCGGAAUUCCUAGUGUAGCGGUGAAAUGCGUAGAUAUUAGGAGGAACACCAGUGGCGAAGGCGGCUUGCUGGACGACAACUGACACUGAGGCGCGAAAGCGUGGGGAGCAAACAGGAUUAGAUACCCUGGUA
RNAcentral lists this ribosomal RNA (437 nucleotides) under uncultured Oscillospiraceae bacterium. Its description in RNAcentral is "partial 16S ribosomal RNA". It matches the Rfam family "Bacterial small subunit ribosomal RNA", at positions 341 to 792 of the family's 1533-position model. The record is from RNAcentral. Lineage: Bacteria; Bacillati; Bacillota; Clostridia; Eubacteriales; Oscillospiraceae.